RNAcentral lists this ribosomal RNA (464 nucleotides) under uncultured Geobacteraceae bacterium. Its description in RNAcentral is "partial 16S ribosomal RNA". It matches the Rfam family "Bacterial small subunit ribosomal RNA", at positions 338 to 794 of the family's 1533-position model. The record is from RNAcentral. Lineage: Bacteria; Pseudomonadati; Thermodesulfobacteriota; Desulfuromonadia; Geobacterales; Geobacteraceae.
CCUACGGGAGGCAGCAGUGGGGAAUUUUACGCAAUGGGGGCAACCCUGACGCAGCAACGCCGCGUGAGUGAUGAAGGCCUUCGGGUCGUAAAGCUCUGUCAGAGGGGAAGAAAUGCAGGUGGUGAACAACCAUUCUGUUUGACGGUACCCUCAAAGGAAGCACCGGCUAACUCCGUGCCAGCAGCCGCGGUAAUACGGAGGGUGCGAGCGUUGUUCGGAAUUAUUGGGCGUAAACCGCGUGUAGGCGGUUUUUUAAGUCGGUGGUAAAAGCCCCGGGCUCAACCUGGGAAGUGCAUUGGAUACUGGCAGACUUGAGUACGGGAGAGGAGAGUGAAAUUCCCAGUGUAGGAGUAAAAUCCGUAGAUAUUGGGAGGAACACCGGUGGCGAGGGCGGCUCUCUGGACCGAUACUGACGCUGAGACGCGAAAGCGUGGGGAGCAAACGGGAUUAGAUCCCCUAGUAGU